GACGAACGCUGGCGGCGUGCUUAACACAUGCAAGUCGAACGGAAAGGCCCUGCUCUUGCGGGGUGCUCGAGUGGCGAACGGGUGAGUAACACGUGAGUAACCUGCCCUUGACUUUGGGAUAACUUCAGGAAACUGGGGCUAAUACCGGAUAGGAGCUCCUGCUGCAUGGUGGGGGUUGGAAAGUUUCGGCGGUUGGGGAUGGACUCGCUGCUUAUCAGCUUGUUGGUGGGGUAGUGGCGUACCAAGGCUUUGACGGGUAGCCGGCCUGAGAGGGUGACCGGCCACAUGAGGACUGAGAUAGGGACCAGACGCCUACGGUACGCAGCAGGGGGAAAUAUUGCGCAAUGGGGGGAAGCGUGAUGCAGCAACGCCGCGUGCGUGAUGACCGCCUUCGGGGUGUAAACCGCUUUGGCCUGUGACGAAGCGUGAGUGACGGUAAUGGGUAAAGAAGCACCGGCUAACUACGUG
RNAcentral lists this ribosomal RNA (468 nucleotides) under uncultured bacterium. RNAcentral's name for it is "partial 16S ribosomal RNA". It matches the Rfam family "Bacterial small subunit ribosomal RNA", at positions 28 to 507 of the family's 1533-position model. The record is from RNAcentral.